AACAGGAUUAGAUACCCUGGUAGUCCACGCCGUAAACGAUGAGUGCUAGGUGUUGGGGGUUUCCGCCCUCUGUGCCGAAGGUAACCCAAUAAGCACUCCGCCUGGGGAGUACGGCCGCAAGGCUGAAACUCAAAGGAAUUGACGGGGGCCCGCACAAGCGGCGGAGCAUGUGGUUUAAUUCGAAGCAACGCGAAGAACCUUACCAGGUCUUGACAUCCCGCUGAUCGGUGUAGAGAUAUGCCUUUCCUUCGGGACAGCGGUGACAGGUGGUGCAUGGUUGUCGUCAGCUCGUGUCGUGAGAUGUUGGGUUCAGUCCCGCAACGAGCGCAACCCUUGUCGUCAGUUGCCAGCACGUAGAGGUGGGCACUCUGGCGAGACGGCCGGUGAAAGCCGGAGGAAGGUGGGGAUGACGUCAAAUCAUCAUGCCCCUUAUGACCUGGGCUACACACGUGCUACAAUGGCCGGUACAACGGGUAGCGAACCCGCGAGGGGGAGCCAAUCCAAAAAACCGGUCUCAGUUCGGAUCGCAGGCUGCAACUCGCCUGCGUGAAGCUGGAAUCGCUAGUAAUCGCGGAUCAGCAUGCCGCGGUGAAUCCGUUCCCGGGCCUUGUGCACACCGCCCGUCACACCACGAGAGUCUGCAACACCCGAAGUCGGUGAGGUAACCUUCGGGAACCAGCCGCCGAAGGUGGGGCAGAUGAUUGGGGUGAAGUCGUAACAAGGUAACC
RNAcentral lists this ribosomal RNA (728 nucleotides) under uncultured bacterium. RNAcentral's name for it is "bacterial SSU rRNA". It matches the Rfam family "Bacterial small subunit ribosomal RNA", at positions 771 to 1501 of the family's 1533-position model. The record is from RNAcentral.